This is a long non-coding RNA of Canis lupus familiaris (dog), 2369 nucleotides long. RefSeq lists it as uncharacterized. The record is from RefSeq and is a predicted model, not a curated record. The transcript is spliced from 3 exons. NCBI's taxonomy places the organism in Eukaryota, Metazoa, Chordata, Mammalia, Carnivora, Canidae.
UAGUUCGAGGGCCCGCGCGGCGCGCUGCGGCCUUCGUAGUGCGCCUGCGCCUUCCUGGAGGGAGGCGGGGCGACGGAUGCGUGGCGGUGCCCUGGACCCGGCGGGCCGGGUCCCCUGCCGAGCGCGAUAGUGUCCGUAUUACAGUGUGACUCUGUACUUGUAGAAGGUGAAUUGGAGUUGGCUGAAUCAUCCAUCAGGAACUCUUGCGCUGCAAAAUGCAAACUAGCUAACUGACUCAGGAAAUUAUUCUUCUCAUGUAUGUGAAAUGUGGAGGUAUCUCAGAAGACCCCCAAAAGUAGAAAGACUGAGGACACAGAAUAACACUUCUUACUGACCCCCUGCUCUGCUCUCCUGACGGUGUCCUCACAAUCUGAAGGAGGCUGGGGAGAAGGGAGAAGGAAAGGGCAUUUCUACAGCCUCAUAGUAAAGAAGAAGGCACAUCUCACCUGUUCCAGAUAUUAAGACAGCCACUCUUGCCUUUUUUGGUUGAACAGAGAAAUGAUUUUUCAGGGUGCCAUUCCCCAAUACUGACCCAUUUAUUUGCAUAGUUUCUAUCAGAUGCCUGACUUUCACACGAGGAGAACCUGCAUUUCAAACACACCCAACAAAUAAGAAUGGAACAACGGUGAAUUAACAGUAAUAAUGGAAAAAAAAGUAUUUUAUGAGAACCUGAGAAUACUUUAUUCUGAAAAUAAGAUAUACAAGGACUAAAACGAAGAACAGGCUUUACCACUUAAUUUUACUCACUCAUAAAAACUUCCUGAUAGAGAACAUGUAUAAAUACAUACUUCCACUAAAAGCCACAGGACGGCACUAUCUCCUGGCCUCAGGAAAGGCAUGUGACCCAAGCGGGGCCAUUCAAGGAUUUGAUACGAGAAGAUGUGGAGGACGAGAGGGCCUCUCUUUCCUAUUGCAACAUGAGCUCAAGGAUGUGGACUCAAGACAUCCUGGCAUUUGGAGAACUGGCCUGAAAAUGAAACCUAUACAAUAAAGGAACGAAAGGCAGACGCAGACAUAAUUGGCAAGCCAGCAUCUCUGUUCACUAAUUUGAGUUAGCCACGCUGCUAACUUCUAGUACUUCUAACAGAGUCCUAAGUAUACACAGCACUUGUCAGGGUGCUCCCUUCACUACUCCCUGAAUUGAGCUGAAUUACAAAGUAGAGUCUGAGACCAGGUCCUGCUCAUAGGAAGAUGACUCUGGGAAGUGAUCCUAGGAAACCAGAGUAAGGAUCUGGGAAGAGUGAUAUGGAGAGCCAAAUACAAGAGUGUGUUAUUAAACUGGUCACCCCAGUGGGCAACUGGGCUUGAUUCCACUGGGACUUUAAAAAAAAAACCCAUGAAGACCCUGUCUCAGAACUGUUCCCUUCUGUCCCUAAAGUGGGUAUUUAUUCACUCUAUUGGUUAAGGCUUGUCCUGUGAGGUGUAGUUGUGCAUACGUGACGACUACACAGAGGUGUCAGAGCCCGAAGGCAGAAAUAAAGAGAAAUGUGGUGUUACGAGCUGGGGUUGUUGUCAUAUUAUAGCUGUGUAAAGGCAGCUGCUAUAGCCAUAGCUAGAAUAAAAGGUGGGCACAGCUGCAGAGGCAGGGCAGAGUUAUAGUUCAGGUUAUAUACCUAAGAGCAACUACACAAGGAGCAAUUACCUUCAGGACAUGCCACCACUUUGCCAAUCACCCAGGCUUCUUCCUUGUGCUGCUUAAUAUCCUUCAGAAUCUGCUCCGUCAGAUCCUUUGAUACCACGAGGGCAGCCCCAACUCCACAGUUAAAUGUUCUCGCCAUCUCUUCUUCAGAGAGGUGUCCUUCCUGCUGUAGCCAUGAAAAGAUCCUGGGGAUCCUCCAGCUUUGGGCAUCUGAAAACAGGCAAGAAUUGUCUGAUUAACCUAUUGUCUCUAUAACGUAUGCACAUAUAUAAAGCUGUGGAGAUUACAAGCAGUACUGCUACUUUAUAUAAGGUAAAACUAUACGUUGCCCUUUCACAAUUUUGGGGGAGGGGGGAUUCACCUGUACCGCAGAUAUCAAGAACAUUUUUGCCGACACACUUGGCCAGUAUUCACUAUUAAGUGAGGUCUUGUACUGCAUCAAGUAACUAGAUUCUUAGGAAUUCCCUAAUAGGGAAUUGUUACCAGCUGAAUUCCAGUAAAAGUUUGAGAAUGUUAAGCUGGGUCUUAGCAAUAACAAAAUGCACUCUAGGUGUGAUGCAAAACUAGGUGGCUUAUGUUACAGACUUAGAGGAAACGUAUCCACUAUUUUAAAAAAGUCAUACAAUUUAUAAAAGGUUAAAAUCAAAAUAUGCCCGACCAUAUUUACUUUAUUUUUUUAAAAGGUUUUAUUUAUUUGAGAAAGAGAGAGGACAUGAUGGUGGUGGUAGUU